GAUGAACGCUUGCGGCGUGCCUAAUACAUGCAAGUCGAACGAGUUCUGAUUAUUGAAAGGUGCUUGCAUCUUGAUUUUAAUUUUGAACGAGUGGCGGACGGGUGAGUAACACGUGGGUAACCUGCCCUUAAGUGGGGGAUAACAUUUGGAAACAGAUGCUAAUACCGCAUAAAUCCAAGAACCGCAUGGUUCUUGGCUGAAAGAUGGCGUAAGCUAUCGCUUUUGGAUGGACCCGCGGCGUAUUAGCUAGUUGGUGAGGUAACGGCUCACCAAGGCAAUGAUACGUAGCCGAACUGAGAGGUUGAUCGGCCACAUUGGGACUGAGACACGGCCCAAACUCCUACGGGAGGCAGCAGUAGGGAAUCUUCCACAAUGGACGCAAGUCUGAUGGAGCAACGCCGCGUGAGUGAAGAAGGCUUUCGGGUCGUAAAACUCUGUUGUUGGAGAAGAAUGGUCGGCAGAGUAACUGUUGUCGGCGUGACGGUAUCCAACCAGAAAGCCACGGCUAACUACGUGCCAGCAGCCGCGGUAAUACGUAGGUGGCAAGCGUUAUCCGGAUUUAUUGGGCGUAAAGCGAGCGCAGGCGGUUUUUUAAGUCUGAUGUGAAAGCCCUCGGCUUAACCGAGGAAGUGCAUCGGAAACUGGGAAACUUGAGUGCAGAAGAGGACAGUGGAACUCCAUGUGUAGCGGUGAAAUGCGUAGAUAUAUGGAAGAACACCAGUGGCGAAGGCGGCUGUCUGGUCUGUAACUGACGCUGAGGCUCGAAAGCAUGGGUAGCGAACAGGAUUAGAUACCCUGGUAGUCCAUGCCGUAAACGAUGAAUGCUAGGUGUUGGAGGGUUUCCGCCCUUCAGUGCCGCAGCUAACGCAUUAAGCAUUCCGCCUGGGGAGUACGACCGCAAGGUUGAAACUCAAAGGAAUUGACGGGGGCCCGCACAAGCGGUGGAGCAUGUGGUUUAAUUCGAAGCAACGCGAAGAACCUUACCAGGUCUUGACAUCUUUUGAUCACCUGAGAGAUCAGGUUUCCCCUUCGGGGGCAAAAUGACAGGUGGUGCAUGGUUGUCGUCAGCUCGUGUCGUGAGAUGUUGGGUUAAGUCCCGCAACGAGCGCAACCCUUAUGACUAGUUGCCAGCAUUUAGUUGGGCACUCUAGUAAGACUGCCGGUGACAAACCGGAGGAGGGUGGGGAUGACGUCAAAUCAUCAUGCCCCUUAUGACCUGGGCUACACACGUGCUACAAUGGAUGGUACAACGAGUUGCGAGACCGCGAGGUCAAGCUAAUCUCUUAAAGCCAUUCUCAGUUCGGACUGUAGGCUGCAACUCGCCUACACGAAGUCGGAAUCGCUAGUAAUCGCGGAUCAGCACGCCGCAGUGAAUACGUUCCCGGGCCUUGUACACACCGCCCGUCACACCAUGAGAGUUUGUAACACCCGAAGCCGGUGGCGUAACCCUUUUAGGGAGCGAGCCGUCUAAGGUGGGACAAAUGAUUAGGGUGAAGU
Molecule: ribosomal RNA, 1497 nt
Filed under: uncultured organism
Description: SSU rRNA
Rfam family: Bacterial small subunit ribosomal RNA
Source: RNAcentral